CCUACGGGUGGCAGCAGUGAGGAAUAUUGGUCAAUGGACGAGAGUCUGAACCAGCCAAGUAGCGUGAAGGAUGACUGCCCUAUGGGUUGUAAACUUCUUUUAUAUGGGAAUAAAAUGUUCCACGUGUGGGAUUUUGUAUGUACCAUAUGAAUAAGGAUCGGCUAACUCCGUGCCAGCAGCCGCGGUAAUACGGAGGAUCCGAGCGUUAUCCGGAUUUAUUGGGUUUAAGGGGAGCGUAGGUGGAUUGUUAAGUCAGUUGUGAAAGUUUGCGGCUCAACCGUAAAAUUGCAGUUGAAACUGGCAGUCUUGAGUACAGUAGAGGUGGGCGGAAGUCGUGGUGUAGCGGUGAAAUGCUUAGAUAUCACGAAGAACUCCGAUUGCGAAGGCAGUUCACUGGACUGCAACUGACACUGAGGCUCGAAAGUGUGGGUAUCAAACAGGAUUAGAUACCCCAGUAGUC
Molecule: ribosomal RNA, 460 nt
Filed under: uncultured bacterium
Lineage: Bacteria
Description: partial 16S ribosomal RNA
Rfam family: Bacterial small subunit ribosomal RNA
Source: RNAcentral